AGCGAACGCUGGCGGCAGGCCUAACACAUGCAAGUCGAACGAACUCUUCGGAGUUAGUGGCGGACGGGUGAGUAACACGUGGGAACGUGCCUUUAGGUUCGGAAUAACUCAGGGAAACUUGUGCUAAUACCGAAUGUGCCCUUCGGGGGAAAGAUUUAUCGCCUUUAGAGCGGCCCGCGUCUGAUUAGCUAGUUGGUGAGGUAAAGGCUCACCAAGGCGACGAUCAGUAGCUGGUCUGAGAGGAUGAUCAGCCACAUUGGGACUGAGACACGGCCCAAAAUCCUACGGGAGGCAGCAGUGGGGAAUCUUGCGCAAUGGGCGAAAGCCUGACGCAGCCAUGCCGCGUGAAUGAUGAAGGUCUUAGGAUUGUAAAAUUCUUUCACCGGGGACGAUAAUGACGGUACCCGGAGAAGAAGCCCCGGCUAACUUCGUG
RNAcentral lists this ribosomal RNA (433 nucleotides) under uncultured bacterium. Its description in RNAcentral is "partial 16S ribosomal RNA". It matches the Rfam family "Bacterial small subunit ribosomal RNA", at positions 29 to 507 of the family's 1533-position model. The record is from RNAcentral.